This 468-nucleotide ribosomal RNA is filed under the name uncultured bacterium. RNAcentral describes it as "partial 16S ribosomal RNA". It matches the Rfam family "Bacterial small subunit ribosomal RNA", at positions 28 to 507 of the family's 1533-position model. The record is from RNAcentral.
GACGAACGCUGGCGGCGCGCUUAACACAUGCAAGUCGAACGGAAAGGCCCUGCUUUUGUGGGGUGCUCGAGUGGCGAACGGGUGAGUAACACGUGAGUAACCUGCCCUUGACUUUGGGAUAACUUCAGGAAACUGGGGCUAAUACCGGAUAGCAGCUCCUGCUGCAUGGUGGGGGUUGGAAAGUUUCGGUGGUUGGGGAUGGACUCGCGGCUUAUCAGCUUGUUGGUGGGGUAGUGGUUUACCAAGGCGUUGACGGGUAGCCGUACUGAGAGGGUGACCGGCCACAGUGGGACUGGGGUAGGACCCAGACUGAAACGGGGGGCAGGGGUGGAAAAUAUUGCACAAUGGGCGGAAGGCGGAUACAGCGACUCCGCGUGCGGGAUGACGGCUGUAGGGUUAGAAACCGCUUUAGCCUGUGACGAAGCGUGAGUGACGGUAAUGUGUAAAGAAGCACCGGCUAACUACGUG